Schizosaccharomyces pombe (fission yeast) is the source of this 527-nucleotide non-coding RNA. The record is from the annotation of a GenBank genome assembly. Lineage: Eukaryota; Fungi; Ascomycota; Schizosaccharomycetes; Schizosaccharomycetales; Schizosaccharomycetaceae.
GCCAACAGUUCGCGGGUAACGGUAUCACGGCCAAGCUUGACUUUACCGUGCAUACCACGUCCUAGUUCUUUUAUAAUCUCAUAGUGGUUAAUGUAUUUACGACCCGAAAACCGAUCAAACCGCUUUCUUAUCUUUUUUGUUUCCUUCACCUCGCCCCAUUCUUGCAGGCGCUUCCACUGGCGCUGAGCCUCUUGAAAAUUAUCAGAAUAAAGACGCUGGUUAUGCUUACCAGGUUGAAAAGUCCAUGAGUGAGUUAACGAACUUCCUUCACGUUCUCCGCCCAACGGGGCUAUUACAUAAUCUCCCGCGCUGUAGUUCCGUUUACGAAAUGAAUCGGACGUUUUCUGGAUGGCCUUGUGGACGGGAUAUUCAGGAAAGACAGAAGGAGGAACUUCGCUAUCGUCUACCUCUGGAUGCCAAGUAUUUUUCCGUAAAAGACGUUGUGGCUCAAUUAAAGUUUUUUCUUCAUUAUUCACUGAUCCCAUCAGGAAGUGUUCCUCGAGUCCUCUUAAAUAGCUUCAAUAGUC